This 349-nucleotide long non-coding RNA is filed under the name Physcomitrium patens. RNAcentral describes it as "long non-coding RNA (PPAT_LNC012418)". The record is from RNAcentral. Lineage: Eukaryota; Viridiplantae; Streptophyta; Bryopsida; Funariales; Funariaceae.
CAUAAGAUUCUUCAAGAAAUAGCUUGUCUUCUUUGUUGAGAUUUGAUAUUGAAUAGAAUUUCAAUCUGACAUCAUCAAUGUCUUCAACCAUUUCGUCCUCCCUCUCGUAUCUUGCUCGAGAUAGCAUGUCUGCUACUAAAUUGUCCUUCCCAGUAACAUGCUAAAAUUCUGGAUUUAGUGACUUAAUAUAAGCAAUCCAUCUCAACAUUGCAAUAUCUGGCGUUGAACAGUUAGUAAUCAUUCCGAGCAAUGGCAAGCAAUCUGUUUCAAUUACUACUACUGCCCCAAUCAAAUAGUCCUUUUCAACUUUCAUAGUCAAAACAACUCCCCAAAGUUCUCUUUUGACUUG